RNAcentral lists this ribosomal RNA (462 nucleotides) under Centipeda noxia. RNAcentral describes it as "bacterial SSU rRNA". It matches the Rfam family "Bacterial small subunit ribosomal RNA", at positions 28 to 468 of the family's 1533-position model. The record is from RNAcentral. Lineage: Bacteria; Bacillati; Bacillota; Negativicutes; Selenomonadales; Selenomonadaceae.
GACGAACGCUGGCGGCGUGCUUAACACAUGCAAGUCGAACGGAGCGAAUGAAAGCUUGCUUUUAUAAGCUUAGUGGCAAACGGGUGAGUAACACGUAGGCAACCUGCCGACAGGAUGGGGACAACAUUCCGAAAGGAAUGCUAAUACCGAAUGAAGCGCAGGAGAGGCAUCUCUCCUGCGUGAAAGAUGGCCUCUAUAUAUAAGCUAUCACCUGUCGAUGGGCCUGCGUCUGAUUAGCUGGUAGGUGAGGUAACGGCUCACCUAGGCGACGAUCAGUAGCCGGUCUGAGAGGAUGAACGGCCACAUUGGGACUGAGACACGGCCCAGACUCCUACGGGAGGCAGCAGUGGGGAAUCUUCCGCAAUGGGCGCAAGCCUGACGGAGCAACGCCGCGUGAGUGAAGAAGGUCUUCGGAUCGUAAAGCUCUGUUGAUGGGGACGAACGUGCCUAAUGCGAAUAGUA